GCUAACAGUGUGAUUUCAGUUUGAUUUGUAGUUUUCUUUCUUGUGAUAGGGCUGAAAAUGGAGCCUUCAGUGUCUUCCCAGGUGGGACCCUAAGCUGAGCUGAGCCCUGAAACUGAGCUGGAAGACAAACAGACGGCAAAGAAUCACUUUAGUCAAUUGAAACACCAAGCCCAGUGCUAGUUUCAGUUGAACAUUCUCACAGCAGGGCUUGCGAGAUAAAGUCCUAAACCCUCACAUUGUACGUCUUCUUGGGCUGUUGAAUGCGCCUGUGUUCUUAGGGCCGUUUCCUCAUCGGUCUCUUUAUAGGACUGCAAUGGUCACCUCUGAGGCCUGUUUCUGUGACCAGCUUUCCACCCCUUGCUCUCUCUCCAGGGUCUGGAAUGAUGCUGUUGCCGAAUCCUCAGUCGUUUCUCCCCCUUUGCGAUGGAGUGGGACUGAGUCAGAAGUGAAGUACUGAAGGCACAAUUACAAGGAGGAAAAAAAUGAAGAGAAAACUAAAUAGAUGCCUCACCCUCACUCAUCGCCCGGACUUGCAGCGCUGUAUUACCCGCCCUGCCCUUGCAACUGUUCCUGCGCUAGCCCUUGCCCGUCCUCUUCGAUCUGAACAUGCCCACUGUUCUCGGCUACUGGUUGAUGGUGGUUGUUGUUCUUAUGUUGUUACAAUACUUGUUUUUUGGUUUUAUUGUUUUAAUGAUUGAAAUGCAAUUGUAUAUUAAUUGUGCUAUAUUUUAUUCUGUUUUUGCUGGGCAUAGUCCCCACGUAAGUCAUCCCGAGUCCCUUCGGGGAGAUGGUGGCGGGAUAUAAGAACAAACUUAUUAUUAUCUAUACACAUGAUAAAAGUGAAAAUCUG
Anolis carolinensis (green anole) is the source of this 850-nucleotide long non-coding RNA. RefSeq lists it as uncharacterized. NCBI's taxonomy places the organism in Eukaryota, Metazoa, Chordata, Lepidosauria, Squamata, Anolidae. The transcript is spliced from 2 exons. The record is from RefSeq and is a predicted model, not a curated record.